RNAcentral lists this long non-coding RNA (2276 nucleotides) under Triticum aestivum (bread wheat). RNAcentral's name for it is "long non-coding RNA (TAES_LNC009567)". Lineage: Eukaryota; Viridiplantae; Streptophyta; Magnoliopsida; Poales; Poaceae. The record is from RNAcentral.
ACCCUGUAAUAAGAGGGUUGUGCUUACUUAGCCAGCACUCAGUUGAAAGAGAAAAAAAAUAUGAAGGCAUUGGUUCCUGAAACCUAACCGUGUGUCCUCCUCUAUUCUAACCGAACACCACUGCUCUGUUUUCUCCCCUGGCCGAGCAGUUCGUGGGCGCGUGUGUGUAACCACCAGCGAGGGACUUAUUGAGAGAGACAAUGGCAACACAUGCGCUAUGACAUUCUGCAACCACCACACGAAUUUAUAAUCAACCAUAUAAAAUGUCCAAGGACUAAGAUUACAUGCUUUAAAGGCAUGCAAGGACUCCAGGAGCAGAAAGGGGCCAGGUAUGUGCCUUGUUUGGGACAACUCCAUCAGUAUGAGCCUUCUUCAAUAGUUGGGCGCCGAAGCUCUGGAUGCUUAAGUGAAUGGUAAGCCAGCCGUUCCUUCUUCAUCUACAAACAUAAGAGAAGGUUUGUUUCUGUUCACACAAUUGGACUGAAGAUUGGAAGAAGGAAAGAAGGGGGAAACGAAACCUCAGUGGUGGGGAACGACGGCCAGCAUGGGUCGAAGCGUCUCAUUGACGCCACAGUUAUUCAGUUCAGAGAGGGCGAUGCGUCACUUACUACCUUUGUAUUACAGGGACUACAACAGGCUUACACUGGCCUGAAACACUUUCUACACACAAAUGAAGUGCUCCAGCCUCUAAGGAUGCCUUUCUUAAUUUCAUUUGAAUACCUGUUGGACUACAACAUAAGAUCAUCAGCAAUCUUGCUAGUAGUAAUGUGCAAUUCCUCAAAAAUAUCCCGGAAGAGCUUGGAGUUUCCGCGCUUCCAUAUAUUCCAGGGUACCUAGCAAUUUAGAGACAAAGAAGCAAUUCAGAAAAUUCAGACCCAAAGAAGCAGUUUAGCAGUUUAGUAAACUGAAUAAUUAUUAGACCGUUCAGAAAAACUAAGAUCUUUGAACGCUAUACCAUUUAACCUAGCAAUCCAUUUGAAUGUAUAAGCAUGUGCAAUAAUCACUGCUAUUCACUUCCUCGUGUAAGAAAUCAAAUUGAAGCAUGGCACCAUUAGGAAGAAAAGCACACAUAUUAGGCAUUGACCGAAAAGUUUAGCAAGAAAAUGUAAUCUCCACUGCUCUUAUUCUCUUGACUUGAUCAGCAGAUCGGAAGGAGUUGGAAAAGGCACAGUGCCCCAUCUUCCACUUGAACGACAUAUGCGCAGAAAAACACCUUGAUGGCUAGUCCUUUGUGAGUGCUCAUUAAUUCUGCUGCCCGAAACAUAAACGCAUGAAAGUCAUGCACGUCUAGCUAGCUCUUGUUGAAAGAGUGCUCUGGUGAGCCAAUUCCUAGCCAAAGCAAAACACGCACUGCCCGGGGAACCGCAGGCUGCCGGCCGGUAAACCACAGUCCACGGCCCGGCGAACCGCACGACACAGCCCGGUGAACUGCACGUCGCUGUAGCACGACCACCAGCGGCGAGGAGCAGAGCACCAGCUCACGGCGGGAACUCGUCAUCCGGACGCCCGGUGACACACCCAAUCCCCACCCAACCAACUACCUGGAUCGACCGGGGUGACGCCAGUAAGCAGGAGAUAGCGGGAUUGCAGCCUCACGACAUAGAGCAAAGCAAAGAUAACUGAAUUGAACACAGAAAAAUUCUACUGUAAUGAACUGCACAGGAAACUGACAGCCGAACUUGUAAGUUCUGAAUUGCACUUGACGCAGGCAAAUUUUUACAACCUGGAUGCAAACAUCAUCCAGAGAACCAAAACUCAAGGAGAAGAAAGAACUGCAUUGAAUUGUAUUUUUGCACAUCAAAAAUCUGAAACAAAAAUGCAAAAACUAUGAACUCCAUGGCAGAGGAAUCCAUAGAGCAGAGCACCACACUACGGUCUUCCUGGGACGUCACCGCCGGCGCGGCUGCUCCUCUCGCACUCUCGGGUCCACGAGACCCCUUCCAGCCUCGUGGUCGCCAUGGGCGCCAUGGUCGGCGAUACAGAGAAAAUAGGGGAGGGUACUGGAGGCAAUCAGUCGCGGGGGAGGAGGGAAUCGAGGGAUUAGUUGCCGGCCCGGAUCCGCCGGGAGGAACGCUGGGGGCGGUGGGACCGUGGGAGAUUGAGGGAAGCCUAGCCAAGGGCGAUGAGGGGUGGCGGCCGCCGGAUACAGCUCGUGGCGAGAGCUCUGGAGGUGGGAGGGGUAGCCAGGGGAUAGGAGGUGUGGUUCGGCGGGAGUUUUGUGGAGCGGCGGCGCGACGCGGUGAGGAGGUAGAUGGAUGGGGGCGCCGGGUCUCGGG